CCCGCCAUUGUGAGGUACGAACAUAUUACCUUCUCCUCCCUCUCUAUCGUCUUCACAUAUCUCCUUCAAGAACUUUUGAUUAAUCUUAAUUUCGAACUAUCUGUUACCUCGAAUUAGGGUUUCGGAACGAGGUAUACGAUUAUCAAUUCCAAAAUUGAAAUCGAAGAAACACAUAUACCUAGGGUUUAUGAUCGCCAACAUUCUUGACAAUUUUGCUUUUAGGAGCUGCAUUAUCGGGUUUGAAUAAGGCCGGUGAGUAGAGAAAGGAGGUUCAGAAAGAGAUGAAUUUAUUGUGUUUUCAUUCUCUGGGUGCUGUUUGUUGUUUACCGCAGUCAAGUACAGAACUAAGAACAUAAUGGUUAUCGACUUAUGGUAAACGAGGUGCAACAAUGCCAAAAUCUAGAAGCACCCAACAUGUUUUGAGGAGUGAAGCAGGCUCUUGGAUAUGCCCAUAGGAUCGUAUGUAUUACUAAAAUUUGGACAUUCAAUGCUGGCUACCUUCUACUUUUCUUUGCUAAAUAGUACGUUCAGAUGGCACUACAAGACAAAUUCGGCUAGCCAUAGUGAGGAAUCUCUCCCCACAUUCUCGGAAUAGUAAAAUAAUCCUCUCAUUGCCUAAUUGGCUAAUUCUACACAUAAUGAUAUACGUACACGUGGAUUGUUGUCUGUACAGUUGCUUUUCUUACUGGCAUCAAAUAGAUCUAGAUCUUACCUGGGAGACAAUAGUGGUACUUUUUUUUUACUUCCUUCAUACCCUGAUUAUGUAAAGAAUACUCUAUUGCCUACCUUUCUCUCUUUCAUUCUUUAACUCGUGAUCAUCUUCCAUUUCAGUGAAAAAAGGAGAACUGAACUAACCCACCAUGGGUUUCUGUUGCCAUUCCACCACAGCUUCCGCACUUUUCGAACACCCUUUUUGUAGUUUGUUGGCUGGCAUCAACUAUUAUGAGCAGGUACACUUUGCCCGAUUAUCAUUGAGAUUCUGGAGAUUAAAUCAUCAUGGAAGGAAAAUAUAUGAGAUGGGACUUAAUGGAUGAUAAAAAUGGAAAUGCAUUUUGGUCAACUUUCAUUAACUUUAAUAGUAGUACAAUUGAACUUUUCAAGGGGUAUUUAGAAAUUGCUUCUUACAGCAAAAGGUGGAUCACUGGAUCCUGUGAGGCUAUUUUUGUGGGAAGAGGACAAUGUGGAUAAAAAAGUUCACUCAUUAAGUGGGGACCAAUAUUUGUAGCUUUGUUAUUUGGCAAGAACAAAGUUUUCUUUUUCCACUCUAAUAUUUGCUAAAUAAAGCAACAUUAUAAUAAUUUCUAGAUUUCAAUUACGAGCCUGAAAUUGAAUAUCACCUCAACUUUCUUCUGAAGGUCUUUGAUAUACUCAACUGCCAAAUCUAGCAUGUCUGCUGUGUUUGUUUGCUGCAAAGAAACAAGGGUUGUAAAUUUUUUAGCUAAUAAUGCAAUCAAGUAGCACGGUCUCUUAACAUGGAGUUUUGCUGAUUUCUUUAGCGUGUUACUAACCUUGUCCAUGUUGGGAACAAGAUCUUGAAGCUUCCUCAUCCUUUCACUAAUUCUGGUUCUUCUUACCUGUAAUUAAGUAGUAAAAAACAUCAUAAAUGUUUCACUAAGCUCUAAGCCUGUAAUCAAAUUGGCUGAUUAACAAAUAUUUCAAAUUUUUUGGAAGUAAAAUUGAAUUCUUACCCUCUCAGCAAUGCUUCUUGGGUGUGUAGCACAUCCUCUCUUAGCUCUGAUUCUUAGGGGUACUGAGUCUUGGUAUUGCAGGAAUUUUUCCAUAUUUGACAUUUCUGGUAAUGUCUUUGGUAGACUGAGAUGAUGAGUCAAAGGUGGAGGCCGGUGUUUUCCCUCUCCACUCUGACAAAUAACCAGAAUCACAAUCAAAUAGCCAUACACAUAAGUGUGAUUAAGAGGUAAAAGCCACAAAAUAGUCUUAUUUUAUAACCUGAUUUUCUGAUGUAUUUAGCUCAGGAAAUAUCUUUAUGUCCUCAUCUUCAACUCCAUCUAAGCUUGAGUAAUUUUCUGAUAAAAUUGAGUCAUCCCAUGAAUUCAUAGAGAAGCCAUAGUUGCUGUCAUUGUUGUGGUUGUUGCUAGAGUGGCUGAAUCUUUUUUCAUCUAGGCUAUUCAUUCUCAAGCUUUUUGCCGCAACAUCUGAGUUCUGGUUUAUGAGAUCUGAAGUGGAAGCUUGACCUGACGAAACAUUUACCUGAACAUUACCUCCAUUACCACCUCCAUAGUUCCCCAUCCCUCCUAUCAUGCCAUAACCUGCCAUAUGCCAUCAAUCUUAGAAUUCCAAUAGCCAAAACCUAAAAAGUGUAAAGGCUGAAAAUUUGUUGAGAUGUUCUCAGAUCUGCAUAAGAUGGUCAACUUCUUAAACAGUGUUAAAUAGUUAGAUCAAGAAGUUAGAGAAGGGUACCAGUAUCCAUGUUCAGGUUGGCGAAAAAUCCAGCAGGGGAGCUGCUAUGCCUAGUGAGACUGACAUUAUUAUUGUUGAUGCCCACACCACCACCAGUCCUCAUAAGGGGUAUCGAAUUUAUCCCCGAUGAACUAGCAGCAACAGCCUUAAAUGAGUUUUGCAUUGCUGAACUAACAGCUGCAGUGUGCUGGUUUGACAAAGGUGGUUUUGGUGGUAUAUGAUAUAGCAUCUGAGAUUGAGUAUUAAAAUUACUCUGCUGUAGCUGCUGCUGGUGCUGAGUAUCUGUCUCUUCCUUAACCCUGACCGUAUACUCAGGUUGAACUGCAGAGGUUUCUUGUAUGUUGCAUAACUUUUGUGAUGAAGAGUUGUUUUCAGCUCCUAUGCUUGACAUGAAGUUGGCAAAGAUGCUCUCUGUUUCGGGGCUUAGUGGUCUAGCAUUUGUAUAUUCCCGUUUCUCUGCUCCUCCGCCUCCACCUCCACCUACAACUCCAACUCCACCACCUCCACCACCUCCACUAGCACCACCAGUAGUAGUGACAGUAUCUGCAGCAGCAUCAAGAAAACUCGCAAAAUACGAGCUUGGGGCUGAGCGAAACCGCGUGAGAUUGUUUGUUUGUUGCUUUUGAUGGUGAAACUGUCGUGGGAAUUCAUGGAAAUGAUGUGGGUAUUGUUGCUGCUGAAAAUCAGAAUCCAUCUCCCUCCUCUCUUUGGGACUCCAAUUAUCUAUUCUUUCCUUAUUUUAGAUUCCCUACUUACCCAAAGAAAAAAAACCCAAAAAUAGGCAGAGGAAAACAGGGGAAUACAGAACCCUAUUCGACCUGAUCAUAAGUCAUACACAUAACAUAUCUGUAAACUACAUACUUGUGGCUGAAAACAAAGCACUUUGUGCAAGGAAUUUUACAUGUGAACCCAAAAGUAAAAAAGCCGCUGAAUAACAAGCAGAAACCACCAACUACCUCUUCUUUCCACCUCUCUUCCCUCUUUGAGCGGCAAAAUCUGUUUUCUGCGGUAUUUACUACUCUCUGUAUUUCUCUCAGCUCUUCUGCUACUGCUGAAUAUGAUGAUUAUAUUGAUGGAAAGGGGGUAAUGCUGGUAAAUGAUCAAGAGAGAGAUUGUAUUAGAGACAUAAACCUUUUAUUUGGUUCUCCCUUUCUUUUUUUGGAGUAUUUUUUCAGUACUUUAAGCAAUGAGAAGCACUACUGCUUUUAGAUUUGGGUAUUCUAGCAGCAUUUAUUGUUGGAAAAUUUUGUUGCGUCACUAUGAUGGAAGCAUGUGGAAGAGGAUGAAUUGCAAGGGAUGCGUGGUCAAGAAGUUGGCAAAAGUUUGCUGGGCAAUGGGAGGCACAAAGUGAUAAUCUUUUUGUUUGAUGGGUGCCGAUCAUUGAAUUAAUUGUCACUGGACUUUUCACAUCACAUUUUGCCAGGUCAUGCCUCAAAGAAAAAGUAUGAACACUUCCCACUUCGCCAACCUUUAUCCUCAGAGAGUGGUAGGUAAGUCGAUUGUUGUUUCUUUGCUAAGUAUGCUCUACCUCUCAUAAUACUUUGUCUUGUUCUUAGUAUUUGAAUAAUGUAUAUCUCUCAAAAAAACUGUACGAGGAAAUAAGUUGAUUGAAUAUUAUCUUUGCAAUAAAGAGAACCACACUAGUACAAGAAAGUAAAAAUGUGAAGGAUUGUGGCUGUCCUUUUCCAUGUAAGUAUUUUUUGGUUGAAUUUCUACAAAAGGAUUAUGGUAAUACGGGAAAAUAACAUUGGGACAUAUAGGAAUAUUUCACUA
Long non-coding RNA from Beta vulgaris subsp. vulgaris (sugar beet), 4191 nucleotides. RefSeq lists it as uncharacterized. The record is from RefSeq and is a predicted model, not a curated record. Lineage: Eukaryota; Viridiplantae; Streptophyta; Magnoliopsida; Caryophyllales; Amaranthaceae. The transcript has 10 exons.